RNAcentral lists this ribosomal RNA (279 nucleotides) under uncultured bacterium. RNAcentral's name for it is "partial 16S ribosomal RNA". It matches the Rfam family "Bacterial small subunit ribosomal RNA", at positions 506 to 784 of the family's 1533-position model. The record is from RNAcentral.
UGCCAGCCGCCGCGGUAAUACGGAGGAUCCAAGCGUUAUCCGGAAUCAUUGGGUUUAAAGGGUCCGUAGGCGGUCUGGUAAGUCAGAGGUGAAAUCCUGCAGCUCAACUGUAGCAUUGCCUUUGAUACUGCCAGACUUGAGGUUUCUAGAGGAGAGUGGAAUUAUCGGUGUAGUGGUGGAAUGCGUAGAUAUCGAUAGGAACACCAGUGGCGAAAGCGGCUCUCUGGGGAACACCUGACGCUGAGGCGCGAAAGCAUGGGUAGCAAACCGGAUUAGAUA